Microcebus murinus (gray mouse lemur) is the source of this 2293-nucleotide non-coding RNA. The record is from RefSeq and is a predicted model, not a curated record. NCBI's taxonomy places the organism in Eukaryota, Metazoa, Chordata, Mammalia, Primates, Cheirogaleidae.
UUUAGCUGAAAUGGGGAUGUUUAUUUAUUUAAGCACAUUUAUCAAAAUCACCCUGAAUAAGGGAGACUGACAUUCUGGAUGACUGGUGUACACCUUCAUGAGAAACAGCCCAGAUUAGCUCUUCUCACUGACCUUCACCAUGAUGAUUUGGAAAGAAAUGAGAAAAGAGAGUGACAGAAAGGAAUAUAUAGGUCUAUUUCAGUUCUCAUCUUACAUUAAAAUUCCAAAAUGUCUUCUUUCUUUCUCAUAUACCUCCAAAUUGUUCCAAAACCUGCAGACUGCUUUAUUCUCAGUAAUUUAUUUUCUCAUUCAAUUGUUCUCCUGAUACUAGAGUUCCUUUAGAUGUCACAAUGUUCUAAUUGCUUAAUCGUACCCUGGCAUAGUCCUUAUUUCCUUCAGUUUUUCUUCUUUCUCCCAUGAGAAACACAAAGGGCAUCCAUUUCUCCCAGCUCUUUUGUGUCUCUCAUUGUGAAGACUGAGACAAAGGAUUAGCUAGGACCGAUAACAUUUGUCAGUCCAAUUAUCCUGAGAUUUUGUGUUUAUAACCACUAUUUCAUUUAUAAUAUAAAGACAACGUUUUUAUUUAUUUCUUUACUUCCAGCUUCUAUUUUCCUGGCCUGGACUAUCAUUUAUGAAAUAGAGUAGACAACCGAGACAUAGGUAGACAAUUUACUUAUUUAAGAAAAUGAAAGAGGAGGAAGAGGACACUUUCCUGAAACAUCCAGUAACUCAGGCUUUGUCUGAUAAUCCAAGAUUAUCAUAGAUUUUAUAAUCCUCAACCCUAUAUAAUCCCCAGAUCCAAGACCUUUUUGGCAUUCUGAAUUGGUAAUUAUUAUAAUGCUUGUAUCCACACCAGUACUCCGUAUAUAAUGUUGGUCUAGGUAAGGGCAGACACAGUUCCCAGCUACUCAGGAGGCUAAUAAAGGAGGAUUGCUUGAGGCCAGGAGUUGGAGGCCGCAGUGCACCCUGAUCAGGCCAGUGAAUAGCCACUGAACUCCAGCCUGGGUAACAUAGCUAAGACCCUGUCUCUUAAAAAAAAAAAAAAAUGUUGUUGGUCUAGGUAACUGUGCUAGUUAAAGUCAUCAUUGUCUACCUUCCCUAGGGACCCGGCGGCGUCCCAGAGGACCCGCGACUGAGCCCGGUGCGACGCGUGGCCUUGGGCUGGGCGCCAUGGACGCCUUCACUCGCUUCACCAACCAGACCCAGGGCCGGGACCGGCUCUUCAGAGCCACUCAAUACACAUGCAUGUUGCUUAGAUAUUUGUUAGAGCCUAAAGCUGGCAAAGAGAAGGUGGUAAUGAAGCUCAAGAAACUGGAGUCCAGUGUGAGCACUGGCCGUAAAUGGUUCAGACUAGGCAAUGUGGUACAUGCUGUGCAGGCGACUGAGCAGAGCAUUCAUGCCACUGACCUGGUACUCCGCUUGUGCCUGACAUUGGCCAACCUGAACCGUGUGAUUUAUUUCAUCUGUGACACCAUCCUCUGGGUGAGGAGUGUAGGUCUCGCCUCUGGCAUCAACAAAGAGAAAUGGCGAACAGGGACUGCCCACCACUACUACUAUUCUCUCCUGCUGAGCCUGGGCAGGGAUCUGUAUGAAAUCUCCCUGCAGAUGGAACGGGUUGCACACAGCAGGGCAAAGAGGGAGAAAUCAUCACCCCAGGAUCCUCUUGAGUACAAUGUGGCUAACAAGGAAACAGAAUGGCUCCAGUCCUUUCUCCUUCUUUUAUUCCAAGCUCUGAAGCAGCAUCCUCCCUUGCUCCUGGACACAGUGAAGAACUUCUGUGAUAUUCUGAACGCUUUGGACCAGCUAGGGAUCUAUAAGUCCAAUCCUGGCAUCAUUGGACUUGGAGGUCUCGUGUCCUCUAUAGCAGGCAUGAUCACUGUGGCAUAUCCUCAGAUGAAGCUGAAGACCCGCUAGGGUGUUUCAGGCUGAGAACUAGUACCUGCCUUAAAAGAUGACCUCUUAGUGGAUCAGACAUUUGCAUUAAUCACAGGCCAUCUCAGACUGUGCUUCAGUUCUUGGUCAUGUGAGCAUUUAGCGACCUGUGAUGUGAGAAGAGGCGGGGCCAAGAAUGGAGAAGGGGGGAGCAUGAAGAUUUAUAUAUGUUUUUUUUAGAGUGCUGGAGUGACUUGAGAAUUUCAGAAUAUUUUCCCUUCACCUAACAUUUAUUUAGCAUCUCUUAUGGCAUAGUAGGAGCUUAGUGUUUGCUAAAUGAAUAAAAAUUAAAAGGGGAAAAAUUGAAAAAGAGCCAAUCAAACUAAUAAGUGAACACUAAUAAAGAGUAACUUUUGGGUUG